Molecule: ribosomal RNA, 376 nt
Filed under: uncultured soil bacterium
Lineage: Bacteria
Description: bacterial SSU rRNA
Rfam family: Bacterial small subunit ribosomal RNA
Source: RNAcentral
AGGACGAACGCUGGCGGCGUGCUUAACACAUGCAAGUCGAGCGGUAAGGCCUUUCGGGGUACACGAGCGGCGAACGGGUGAGUAACACGUGGGUGAUCUGCCCUGCACUCUGGGAUAAGCCUGGGAAACUGGGUCUAAUACCGGAUAUGACCUGCUCUCGCAUGGGGGGUGGGUGGAAAGAUUUAUCGGUGCAGGAUGGGCCCGCGGCCUAUCAGCUUUGGUUGGUGGGGUAAUGGCCUACCAAGGCGACGACGGGUAGCCGACCUGAGAGGGUGACCGGCCACGACGUGGGACUGAGACACGGCCCAGACUCCGUACGGGAGGCAGCGAGUGGGAAUAUUGCACAAUGGGCAAAGCCUGAUGCAGCGACGCCGCG